UGGAGCGGAAGAUAGGAUUUACACCUAUACCUCAUUCCAGGAAGGAAUGUAUUCUAAGAGUUGAAAUACUCCCGC
RNAcentral lists this transfer RNA (75 nucleotides) under Staphylococcus aureus 04-02981. RNAcentral describes it as "tRNA-Gly". The record is from RNAcentral. Lineage: Bacteria; Bacillati; Bacillota; Bacilli; Caryophanales; Staphylococcaceae.